Molecule: ribosomal RNA, 468 nt
Filed under: uncultured bacterium
Lineage: Bacteria
Description: partial 16S ribosomal RNA
Rfam family: Bacterial small subunit ribosomal RNA
Source: RNAcentral
GACGAACGCUGGCGGCGUGCUUAACACAUGCAAGUCGAACGGAAAGGCCCUGCUUUUGUGGGUUGCUCUCGUGGCGCACGGGUGAGUAACACGUGAGUAACCUGCCCUUGACUUUGGGAUAACUUCUGGAAACUGGGUCUAAUACCGGAUAGGUGCUCCUGCCCCUUGGUGGCGGUCGGAAGGUUUCGGCGGUUGGGGAUGGAUUCGCCGCUUAUCGGUUUGGUGGCGUGGUAUGGGCUUACCAAUGCUUUGACGGGUAGCCGGCCUGAGAGGGUGACCGGCCACAUUGGGACUGAGAUACGGCCCAGACUCAUACGGGAGGCAGCAGUGGGGAAGAUUGCACAGUGGGCGGAAGCCUGAUGCGGCAACGCCGCGUGCGGGAUGAGGGGCUGCGGGUUGUAAACCGCUUUCGCCUGUGACGAAGCGAGAGUGACGGUAAUGGGUAAAGAAGCACCGGCUAACUACGUG